RNAcentral lists this ribosomal RNA (491 nucleotides) under uncultured bacterium. Its description in RNAcentral is "partial 16S ribosomal RNA". It matches the Rfam family "Bacterial small subunit ribosomal RNA", at positions 29 to 506 of the family's 1533-position model. The record is from RNAcentral.
AUUGAACGCUGGCGGCAUGCUUUACACAUGCAAGUCGAGCGGUAACAGGCCUUCGGGUGCUGACGAGUGGCGAACGGGUGAGUAAUGCAUCGGAACGUACCCAGAGGUGGGGGAUAACGCAGCGAAAGCUGUGCUAAUACCGCAUGUGAUCUGAGGAUGAAAGCGGGGGACCGAGCAGCAAUGUUUGGCCUCGCGCCUUUGGAGCGGCCGAUGUCGGAUUAGCUAGUUGGUGGGGUAAAGGCCUACCAAGGCGACGAUCCGUAGCUGGUCUGAGAGGACGACCAGCCACACUGGGACUGAGACACGGCCCAGACUCCUACGGGAGGCAGCAGUGGGGAAUUUUGGACAAUGGGCGCAAGCCUGAUCCAGCAAUGCCGCGUGCGGGAAGAAGGCCUUCGGGUUGUAAACCGCUUUUGGCAGGAACGAAACGGUGUCCGCUAAUACCGGGCGCUAAUGACGGUACCUGCAGAAUAAGCACCGGCGAACUACGU